UGCAGGUGAGGUUCAUUUUUUUCCGUAGGCCGGCGCGCUGGCCCCCUCGUGGGUGUGAGGGGUCGCGCAAGCUUGCAGUCCGGCCUGACGCCCUUCCGCCUCUGCGCCGUUCGCGUCUUCUGCCUCCUGCCUCCCCGCCCGUCACCUCCCACCGACCCGGGAAGUAGGAGCCUCCAGACCUCCGCCUCCCUGCAGGGCGGCGGGGGAGCCGCGGACGCCAGCCCGCGGCCUGCUGGUGAGGCGGGAGCCCGGCGCGUCUGGAGCCUGCGCAGGAGAGCCAAGUGGUGAGUCGCGGGGAGCAGGUCGGUCCCCGCGGGAGGGACGAGGAGGCCGCGUGCGCGGAAGCAGAGAUGUCCGAGGUGCGCCCCUCGUCCAAGGCCCCUGGCGUCAAAUAAACGUGUUCUCCGAGA
This is a long non-coding RNA of Neogale vison (American mink), 410 nucleotides long. RefSeq lists it as uncharacterized. The record is from RefSeq and is a predicted model, not a curated record. The transcript is spliced from 2 exons. NCBI's taxonomy places the organism in Eukaryota, Metazoa, Chordata, Mammalia, Carnivora, Mustelidae.